UACGUAGGGUGCAAGCGUUGUCCGGAAUUAUUGGGCGUAAAGAGCUCGUAGGCGGUUUGUCGCGUCUGCUGUGAAAACCCGAGGCUCAACCUCGGGCCUGCAGUGGGUACGGGCAGACUAGAGUGCGGUAGGGGAGAUUGGAAUUCCUGGUGUAGCGGUGGAAUGCGCAGAUAUCAGGAGGAACGCCAAUGGCGAAGGCAGAUCUCUGGGCCGUAACUGACGCUGAGGAGCGAAAGCAUGGGGAGCGAACAGG
This 253-nucleotide ribosomal RNA is filed under the name uncultured bacterium. RNAcentral's name for it is "partial 16S ribosomal RNA". It matches the Rfam family "Bacterial small subunit ribosomal RNA", at positions 524 to 776 of the family's 1533-position model. The record is from RNAcentral.